CAAACGGUCCUUUUCAGGACUACAGAAAAUGUUUCCGCAAGAGGUAU
Molecule: non-coding RNA, 47 nt
Organism: Aedes albopictus (Asian tiger mosquito)
Lineage: Eukaryota; Metazoa; Arthropoda; Insecta; Diptera; Culicidae
Source: Rfam